GCACAAGCAGCGGAGCGUGUGGUUUAAUUCGAUGCUACACGAAGAACCUUACCAGGGUUUGACAUGCAAGUGGUAGGAAUCCGAAAGGUGACCGACCCUUCGGGGAGCUUGCACAGGUGCUGCAUGGCUGUCGUCAGCUCGUGUCGUGAGAUGUUCGGUUAAGUCCGCUAACGAGCGCAACCCUCGUCGUGUGUUAUACGUGUCACACGAUACUGCCGGUAUCAAGCCGGAGGAAGGUGGGGAUGAUGUCAAGUCAGCAUGGCCUUUAUAUCCUGGGCUACACACACGCUACAAUGGCAGAUACAAUAGGUCGCUAAACCGCGAGGUGGAGCCAAUCCUCAAAGUCUGUCUCAGUUCAGAUUGUAGGCUGCAACUCGCCUGCAUGAAGUUGGAGUUGCUAGUAAACGCAGGUCAGCCAUACUGCGUUGAAUACGUUCCCGGGGCUU
Molecule: ribosomal RNA, 446 nt
Filed under: uncultured Leptolinea sp.
Lineage: Bacteria; Bacillati; Chloroflexota; Anaerolineae; Anaerolineales; Anaerolineaceae
Description: bacterial SSU rRNA
Rfam family: Bacterial small subunit ribosomal RNA
Source: RNAcentral